CCCAACUAUCCCUAUUAAUCAUUACGGUGAUCCUAGAAACCAACGAAAUAGAAUCAGUCCGUCCUAUUUCAUUAUUCCAUGCUAAUGUAUUCAGACGAUAGUCUGCUUUAAACACUCUAAUUUUUUCAAAGUAACAGUCCUGAUUUCCCAUCACACCAAAUGAAUGGCAUGAAAGUUCCUCAGAAGGAUGGAAGGGCGCCGCUGCACACGCUAACGAGCGGACAUUGGCACCCUCCCAGAAGUCCAACUACGAGCUUUUUAACUGCAACAACUUUAAUAUACGCUAUUGGAGCUGGAAUUACCGCGGCUGCUGGCACCAGACUUGCCCUCCAA
RNAcentral lists this unclassified non-coding RNA (333 nucleotides) under uncultured Diversisporaceae. RNAcentral describes it as "sequence contains 18S rRNA gene". Lineage: Eukaryota; Fungi; Glomeromycota; Glomeromycetes; Diversisporales. The record is from RNAcentral.